RNAcentral lists this ribosomal RNA (725 nucleotides) under uncultured bacterium. Its description in RNAcentral is "bacterial SSU rRNA". It matches the Rfam family "Bacterial small subunit ribosomal RNA", at positions 112 to 823 of the family's 1533-position model. The record is from RNAcentral.
UAAUUGAAGNGAACCUGCCCGCGCACCGGGAAUACGCUCUGGAAACGGAGAACAAAUCCCGAUGUACAGGAAGGAGGCAUCUUCUUUCUGUGAAACAUCCUUUAGGGGAUGGGGCGCGGAUGGACCUGCGGUGCAUUAGUUUGUUGGCGGGGUAAAGGCCCACCAAGACGAUGAUGCAUAGCCGGCCUGGGAGGGCGGACGGCCACAUUGGGACUGAGACACGGCCCAGACUCCUGCGGGAGGCAGCAGUAGGGAAUUUUCGUCAAUGGGCGCAAGCCUGAACGAGCGAUGCCGCGUGAGUGAAGAAGGCCUUCGGGUCGUAAAGCUCUGUUGCGGGGGAAAAAAGGCAGCAUCAGGAAAUGGGUGCUGACUGAUGGUGCCCCGCCAGAAAGUCACGGCUAACUACGUACCAGCAGCCGCGGUAAUACGUAGGUGGCGAGCGUUAUCCGGAAUGAUUGGGCGUAAAGGGUGCGCAGGCGGUCCUGCAAGUCUGGAGUGAAACGCAUGAGCUCAACUCAUGCAUGGCUUUGGAAACUGGAGGACUGGAGAGCAGGAGAGGGCGGUGGAACUCCAUGUGUAGCGGUAAAAUGCGUAGAUAUAUGGAAGAACACCAGUGGCGAAGGCGGCCGCCUGGCCUGUUGCUGACGCUGAGGCACGAAAGCGUGGGGAGCAAAUAGGAUUAGAUACCCUAGUAGUCCACGCCGUAAACGAUGAGGACCAAGUGU